AAUGACCUGCUUAGAGUUCUGCACCCCCCAGCAUGGAGAGCAGAGCGCAAAGAUUUCUUCCGGACUCCCACAUUCCCCUUGGAAUCCAAGAACUGGUCUACUGUCACAACACUUUAGUACCCUCUUCUCCCAAGGAGGCAGCAGAAACUGGGGUAAUCACAACGGUCAACAGCAGCAAAGGCAGCACUUUCUGAUUUACUUGACUGCUAUGGAUGCCACCUCUCUCCACGCCUCAGUUUAAUAUCUGUAAGUUUGGACAGGAGGUGUCCUGGUGAUCAGCUGGAGCUCGGGGGAGCUGUUGCUGAAAUUAACUUGAGUGCUUUGGAGAGAGAUUUACAUGGCAGAGUGGAGCCAGGGCUGCUCCUUUGGCAGGCACUGCUGUGCCACUGUGGAGGCGCCCCUGCUUUUCCCAUGCUUUGCAGUGUCUUUAAAGGCCUUUGGAGCCAUGCCCAGGCUCAGCCCCAUCCUGGUGUCCCCCUGUGUCCGUUUUGCCACUGCCCGGCUACUUCACUUGGCCAUGGGCCUUACCAGCUUGCAGACAAACCCGUCCAUCUACGCCUCCCAGCGCAGCUUGGCCCACUUGCAAGCACUUACAGAGGGUUUCAGAAGGAACAUGUCUGCCAUCUGUGUUUGGAGACUGUGUCCCAGACUUUUGAGCUCACAUUAGUCAUGGCCACAGACGGGACUGGAGUCCUGCCCACUGGAGUCCCAAAGGACCUGAAAGCCUCUGAAGUUCACUCCUUCGGCCCCACUCCCUUC
Homo sapiens (human) is the source of this 759-nucleotide long non-coding RNA. Ensembl annotates it as LAMTOR5 and SLC16A4 antisense RNA 1. Its record names the gene LAMTOR5-AS1. The record is from Ensembl. NCBI's taxonomy places the organism in Eukaryota, Metazoa, Chordata, Mammalia, Primates, Hominidae.